UGGGGAAUAUUGCACAAUGGGCGCAAGCCUGGUGCAGCCAUGCCGCGUGUGUGAAGAAGGCCUUCGAGUUGUAAAGCACUUUCAGCGAGGAGGAAGGUGGUGAGCUUAAUACGCUCAUCAAUUGACGUUACUCGCAGAAGAAGCACCGGCUAACUCCGUGCCAGCAGCCGCGGUAAUACGGAGGGUGCAAGCGUUAAUCGGAAUUACUGGGCGUAAAGCGCACGCAGGCGGUUUGUUAAGUCAGAUGUGAAAUCCCCGGGCUCAACCUGGGAACUGCAUUUGAAACUGGCAAGCUAGAGUCUCGUAGAGGGGGGUAGAAUUCCAGGUGUAGCGGUGAAAUGCGUAGAGAUCUGGAGGAAUACCGGUGGCGAAGGCGGCCCCCCUGGACGAAGACUGACGCUCAGGUGCGAAAGCGUGGGGCAGCAAACAGGAUUAGAUACCCUGGUAGUCACGCUGUAAACGAUGUCGAUUUGGAGGUUGUGCCCUUGAGGCGUGGCUUCCGGAGCUAACGCGUUAAAUCGACCGCCUGGGGAGUACGGCCGCAAGGUUAAAACUCAAAGG
Molecule: ribosomal RNA, 561 nt
Filed under: uncultured bacterium
Lineage: Bacteria
Description: partial 16S ribosomal RNA
Rfam family: Bacterial small subunit ribosomal RNA
Source: RNAcentral